GGAAGGAUCAUUACAAACGUCUCCAAAACGUUCCAUCAACACGUGAAUUCGUUUCGCUCCCGGCGCUUCUAUGGCUGCGGCCGUAGACGUCGGCAAUAUUCUCCUCUUCACACAAAUUUCGGUUUGUGUCGACGAGGACACGCCGUGCGGCGUGCACCUGCGUGGUGUACUCGUCGGCGUGCUUUUUUAAAACACCAAUUUCACCCCUUCAAAACACUAGUUGAUUUUCGUUCGAGUGCAUGCCUUCGGGCCGCACACGACUGUUGUAUUUCAACAUACAAUACAACUCUUAGCAAUGGAUAUCUAGGCUCUCGCAACGAUGAAGAACGCAGCGAAAUGCGAUACGUAAUGCGAAUUGCAGGAUUCAGCGAGUCAUCAAAUCUUUGAACGCAAAUGGCGCUCUUGGGAUAGACCUAGGAGCACGCUUCUCUCAGUAUCGGUUCUCACUCCUCUCAGCAGCGUCGGCAGCAGAAACUCUGCUAUCGACGCGUUGGCUGGUGAAUGAGCGUCUGUAUGCUUCAGUCGUAUAGUCGCUUGAAAUGCAUGGAAGGUUAGUAGUGUCUCUUGGCAUUCGGCACCGCAAGGUUCCGCUUUGCCGCGAGCCUCUUGUCCGUUUUGUGUGCGCCUCCUCUAUGAUGCGAACGCUGCUCUUCUUUCCGUGUGGUAUGCCUCUGCGUGAGGCUGCUCGUGAGAAAGCACUCCGUCUCGACUUUCGAGUGACGUGAAUGAAUGAUCCCUUGUGGGUCGCUCUCUCUUACGUGUAACUCGAUCGCUUUCGGCGCGGCUAGUGUUGGGCGGUGAUCGUCAUCGGACGGCGCUAGGACGAGGUUCGUUCGGGACGCAUGCUACCGGCAGAAAACCAUAUGAUACGUUCGGUCCUGGGCCGACGGUAUCUGAAUUUUGAUCUGAGAUGAAGCGAGACAACCCCCUGAAUUUAAGCAUAUUAAUAAGGGGAGGAAAAGAAAAUAACAAUGAUACCCUCAGUAACGGCGAGUGAAGCGGGUAAAGCUCAAUUUGAAAAUCGACUACCCAAACGGGUCGUCGAGUUGUAGCCUAUUGACGUACUAUCAGCUGAAACGUGGGUAUAAGUUCGUUGGAAUGCGACUUCAUAGAGGGUGAGAGACCCGUAUAUGACCCACUGUGUUCGGCGUACGAUGUGCGCUCAUCGAGUCGAGUUGUUUGGGAUUGCAGCUCUAAUUGGGUGGUAAGUUUCAUCUAAAGCUAAAUAAUGGCGAGAGACCGAUAGCGAACAAGUACCGUGAGGGAAAGAUGAAAAGAACUUUGAAAAGAGAGUUAAAAGUACUUGAAAUUGCUAAGAGGGAAGCGCUGGAAACCAGUGCCAUGUCGCGUUAAUCGCCGUCGAGCGCUAAUCUCGUGCGCAGUGCAAUGGGCAACCUUGUCUGUGUACGGUGUGAGGACGCUCGGCGGUCUAUAGCGCGGCGUACGUCAAGAUCCAUUCGAGCGGUGGGAGAGGGGGAGAGGUGGGGUAGGAGCUUCGGCUCUGUUAACACCUCUUCUCGUACCUCGGCUUGGAUGGAGGAAUGUAAUGGCGCGCCGCUUGUCGGCUUACGCCCGUGCUCCUACGUCGUCAACGGCGAACGAGAGCAAUGCUCUCGCCGUCGUGAAGCGGCGCACUGGGUGCGGUGCGUUUAAGUGCCAUCACGAUCUUGUACGAAAUGGUUUUCAUCGACCCGUCUUGAAACACGGACCAAGGAGUCUAACAUCUAUGCGAGUAUUUGGGUGUCGAAACCCUGAUGCGUAAUGAAAGUAAAGGCAGCUUCUUGCUGCUGAGGUAGGAAUCCCUUCACCGGGAGGCACUAUCGACCGAUCAUCACUUGUGAAAGAUUUGAGUAAGAGCAUAUCUGUUGGGACCCGAAAGAUGGUGAUCUAUGCCUGAACAGGGCGAAGCCAGGGGAAACUCUGGUGGAGGCUCGUAGCGAUACUGACGUGCAAAUCGUUCGUCUGAUUUGGGUAUAGGGGCGAAAGACUAAUCGAACCAUCUAGUAGCUGGUUCCCUC
RNAcentral lists this unclassified non-coding RNA (2018 nucleotides) under uncultured fungus. RNAcentral describes it as "sequence contains 18S rRNA gene, ITS1, 5.8S rRNA gene, ITS2, 28S rRNA gene". The stretch from base 902 to 2018 matches the Rfam family "Eukaryotic large subunit ribosomal RNA", at positions 1 to 961 of the family's 3401-position model. Lineage: Eukaryota; Fungi. The record is from RNAcentral.